CGUGCCCUUCUCUACGGAAUAGCCCCGGGAAACUGGGAGUAAUACCGUAUACGCCCUUUGGGGGAAAGAUUUAUCGGAGAAGGAUCGGCCCGCGUUGGAUUAGGUAGUUGGUGGGGUAAUGGCCCACCAAGCCGACGAUCCAUAGCUGGUUUGAGAGGAUGAUCAGCCACACUGGGACUGAGACACGGCCCAGACUCCUACGGGAGGCAGCAGUGGGGAAUCUUAGACAAUGGGGGCAACCCUGAUCUAGCCAUGCCGCGUGAGUGAUGAAGGCCUUAGGGUUGUAAAGCUCUUUCAGCUGGGAAGAUAAUGACGGUACCAGCAGAAGAAGCCCCGGCUAACUCCGUGCCAGCAGCCGCGGUAAUACGGAGGGGGCUAGCGUUGUUCGGAAUUACUGGGCGUAAAGCGCACGUAGGCGGACUGGAAAGUCAGAGGUGAAAUCCCAGGGCUCAACCUUGGAACUGCCUUUGAAACUAUCAGUCUGGAGUUCGAGAGAGGUGAGUGGAAUUCCGAGUGUAGAGGUGAAAUUCGUAGAUUUCGGAGGAACACCGGUGGCGAAGGCGGCUCACUGGCUCGAUACUGACGCUGAGGUGCGAAAGCGUGGG
Molecule: ribosomal RNA, 605 nt
Filed under: Paracoccus sp. D67
Lineage: Bacteria; Pseudomonadati; Pseudomonadota; Alphaproteobacteria; Rhodobacterales; Paracoccaceae
Description: bacterial SSU rRNA
Rfam family: Bacterial small subunit ribosomal RNA
Source: RNAcentral